This 491-nucleotide ribosomal RNA is filed under the name uncultured bacterium. Its description in RNAcentral is "partial 16S ribosomal RNA". It matches the Rfam family "Bacterial small subunit ribosomal RNA", at positions 29 to 506 of the family's 1533-position model. The record is from RNAcentral.
AGUGAACGCUGGCGGUAGGCCUAACACAUGCAAGUCGAACGGCAGCACAGUAAGAGCUUGCUCUUACGGGUGGCGAGUGGCGGACGGGUGAGGAAUACAUCGGAAUCUACUUUUUCGUGGGGGAUAACGUAGGGAAACUUACGCUAAUACCGCAUACGACCUACGGGUGAAAGCAGGGGAUCUUCGGACCUUGCGCGAUUGAAUGAGCCGAUGUCGGAUUAGCUAGUUGGCGGGGUAAAGGCCCACCAAGGCGACGAUCCGUAGCUGGUCUGAGAGGAUGAUCAGCCACACUGGAACUGAGACACGGUCCAGACUCCUACGGGAGGCAGCAGUGGGGAAUAUUGGACAAUGGGCGAAAGCCUGAUCCAGCCAUACCGCGUGGGUGAAGAAGGCCUUCGGGUUGUAAAGCCCUUUUGUUGGGAAAGAAAAGCAGCAGGUUAAUACCCCGCUGUUCUGACGGUACCCAAAGAAUAAACACCGGCUAACUUCGU